Molecule: transfer RNA, 75 nt
Filed under: Crassvirales sp.
Lineage: Duplodnaviria; Heunggongvirae; Uroviricota; Caudoviricetes; Crassvirales
Description: tRNA-Met
Rfam family: tRNA
About the family: Transfer RNA (tRNA) molecules are approximately 80 nucleotides in length. Their secondary structure includes four short double-helical elements and three loops (D, anti-codon, and T loops). Further hydrogen bonds mediate the characteristic L-shaped molecular structure. tRNAs have two regions of fundamental functional importance: the anti-codon, which is responsible for specific mRNA codon recognition, and the 3' end, to which the tRNAs corresponding amino acid is attached (by aminoacyl-tRNA synthetases). tRNAs cope with the degeneracy of the genetic code in two manners: having more than one tRNA (with a specific anti-codon) for a particular amino acid; and 'wobble' base-pairing, i.e. permitting non-standard base-pairing at the 3rd anti-codon position.
Source: RNAcentral
GGCGGGGUAGAGUAGUGGCCUAACUCAACAGUCUCAUACGCUGUUAUUUCGCAAGUUCGAAUCUUGCCCCCGCUA